UACCUGUUUGAUCCUGCCAGUAGCAUAUGCUUGUAUCAAAGCUUAAGCCAUGCAUGUCUAAGUACACACGGGUGGUACAGUGAAACUGCAAAUGGUUCAUUAAAUCAGUUAUGGUUCCUGUGGUCGCUCUUAAGAGCAAAAUAGCAUUCCCACAAUCCAGGAGGAAGCAGUUAAUGACCUGCUACACCACCUGGACACACACAAGUCUAUGGGGCCAGAUGGGAUCCACCUGAGAGUACUGAGGGAGCUGGCAGG
Molecule: non-coding RNA, 255 nt
Filed under: Pterocles gutturalis (yellow-throated sandgrouse)
Lineage: Eukaryota; Metazoa; Chordata; Aves; Pterocliformes; Pteroclidae
Description: Eukaryotic small subunit ribosomal RNA
Rfam family: Eukaryotic small subunit ribosomal RNA
Source: Rfam by way of RNAcentral